Molecule: transfer RNA, 64 nt
Filed under: Calvia decemguttata
Lineage: Eukaryota; Metazoa; Arthropoda; Insecta; Coleoptera; Coccinellidae
Description: tRNA-Tyr
Source: RNAcentral
GAUAAAGUGGCUGAAUUAUAGGCGGUAAAUUGUAAAUUUACUAAUGAAAGUUUUUCCUUUAUUA